GGGCCGCUAGCUCAACUGGCAGAGCAGAUCCCUCUUAAGGAUAAGGUUCCGGGUUCGACCCCCGGGCGGCCCACCA
This 76-nucleotide transfer RNA is filed under the name Candidatus Uhrbacteria bacterium. RNAcentral's name for it is "tRNA-Lys". It matches the Rfam family "tRNA". From Rfam's summary of the family: Transfer RNA (tRNA) molecules are approximately 80 nucleotides in length. Lineage: Bacteria; Candidatus Uhriibacteriota. The record is from RNAcentral.